AUUGAACGCUGGCGGCAGGCCUAACACAUGCAAGUCGAACGAGUGGCGGACGGGUGAGUAAUGUCUGGGAAACUGCCCGAUGGAGGGGGAUAACUACUGGAAACGGUAGCUAAUACCGCAUACAAUCGGAUGUGCCCAGAUGGGAUUAGCGUGUGGGUGGGGUAACGGCUCACCUAGGCGACGAUGCCUAGCUGGUCUGAGAGGAUGACCAGCCACACUGGAAAGAGGACACGGACCAAACUCCUACGUGAGGCAGGAGUGGAAAAUAUAGCGGAAUGAGCACGAGCGUGAUGGAACCAUGCCGCGUGUAUGAGAAAGGCCUUCGGGUUGUAGAGUACUUUAAGCGGGGAGGCGUUACUCGCAGAAGAAGCACCGGCUAACUCCGUGCCAGCAGCCGCGGUAAUAC
This 406-nucleotide ribosomal RNA is filed under the name uncultured bacterium. RNAcentral's name for it is "partial 16S ribosomal RNA". It matches the Rfam family "Bacterial small subunit ribosomal RNA", at positions 29 to 526 of the family's 1533-position model. The record is from RNAcentral.